This 449-nucleotide ribosomal RNA is filed under the name uncultured bacterium. Its description in RNAcentral is "partial 16S ribosomal RNA". It matches the Rfam family "Bacterial small subunit ribosomal RNA", at positions 29 to 523 of the family's 1533-position model. The record is from RNAcentral.
AACGAACGCUGGCGGCAUGCCUAACACAUGCAAGUCGAACGAGAUCUUCGGGUCUAGUGGCGCACGGGUGCGUAACGCGUGGGAAUCUGCCCUUUGGUUCGGAAUAACAGUUGGAAACGACUGCUAAUACCGGAUGAUGACGAAAGUCCAAAGAUUUAUCGCCAGAGGAUGAGCCCGCGUAGGAUUAGCUAGUUGGUGUGGUAAAGGCGCACCGAGGCGACGAUCCUUAGCUGGUCUGAGAGGAUGAUCAGCCACACUGGGACUGAGACACGGCCCAGACUCCUACGGGAGGCAGCAGUGGGGAAUAUUGGACAAUGGGCGAAAGCCUGAUCCAGCAAUGCCGCGUGAGUGAUGGAGGCCUUAGGGUUGUAAAGCUCUUUUACCCGGGAUGAUAAUGACAGUACCGGGAGAAUAAGCUCCGGCUAACUCCGUGCCAGCAGCCGCCGUAA